AUUACCCUACACCUACGCUCAGGCCCCUGCCUAUGUAUAUCCCUAUUACAAUCCAACUGCUACCACAAUACAACAACCACCACCACAAAUGGCCAUGCCUCAUAUCUCACCCUACACAGCUGCACAACAAACAUCUGCAUCAGAACCAUCUCCAUUAGCACCUGCUGUAUCGACGACUAUACCACCACACAAUACAUCCUUGGCACCUGGCAUGACUGUAGCACA
This 225-nucleotide non-coding RNA is filed under the name Ditylum brightwellii. The record is from RNAcentral. Lineage: Eukaryota; Bacillariophyta; Thalassiosirophyceae; Lithodesmiales; Lithodesmiaceae.